RNAcentral lists this ribosomal RNA (800 nucleotides) under uncultured bacterium. RNAcentral's name for it is "bacterial SSU rRNA". It matches the Rfam family "Bacterial small subunit ribosomal RNA", at positions 8 to 842 of the family's 1533-position model. The record is from RNAcentral.
AGAGUUUGAUCCUGGCUCAGAAUCAACGCUGGCGGCGCGCUUAACACAUGCAAGUCGCACGAGAAAGGGAGCAAUCCUGAGUAAAGUGGCGUACGGGUGAGUAACACGUGGAUCAUCUACCUUUUAGUGGGGAAUACCCCCGGGAAACUGGGGACAAUACCGCAUAAGCUCGAGAGAGGAAAGCAGCAAUGCGCUGAAAGAGGAGUCCGCGGCUGAUUAUGCUAGUUGGCGGGGUAAUGGCCCACCAAGGCGAAGAUCGGUAGCCGGCCUGAGAGGGCUCACGGCCACACUGGCACUGAAAUACGGGCCAGACUCCUACGGGAGGCAGCAGUGGGGAAUCUUGCACAAUGGAGGAAACUCUGAUGCAGCGACGCCGCGUGAGCGAUGAAGCCCUUCGGGGUGUAAAGCUCUUUCGACGGGAACGAUAAUGACGGUACCCGAAGAAGAAGCUGCGGCUAACUACGUGCCAGCAGCCGCGGUAAUACGUAGGCAGCAAGCGUUGUUCGGAAUUACUGGGCGUAAAGAGUGUGUAGGCGGUGCUCUAAGUCUGUUGUGAAAUCUCCCGGCUUAACUGGGAGGGUGCGGCGGAAACUGGAGUGCUUGAGGGUGGGAGAGGUAAGCGGAAUUCCCGGUGUAGCGGUGAAAUGCGUAGAUAUCGGGAGGAACACCUGUGGUGUAGACAGCUUACUGGACCACUUCUGACGCUGAGACACGAAAGCGUGGGUAGCAAACAGGAUUAGAUACCCUGGUAGUCCACGCCCUAAACGAUGCAUACUUGGUGUGAGCGAUUCAUUUCGUUC